Molecule: ribosomal RNA, 248 nt
Filed under: uncultured crenarchaeote
Lineage: Archaea; Thermoproteati; Thermoproteota
Description: partial 16S ribosomal RNA
Rfam family: Archaeal small subunit ribosomal RNA
Source: RNAcentral
AGCUCUCCGAGUGGUGUGGAUGUUUAUUGGGCCUAAAGCAUCCGUAGCUGGCUAGGUCAGUCCCUUGUUAAAUCCACCGAAUUAAUCGUUGGAUUGCGGGGGAUACUGCUUGGCUAGGGGACGAGAGAGGCAGACGGUAUUUUCGGGGUAGGGGUGAAAUCCUAUAAUCCCGGGAAGACCACCAGUGGCGAAGGCUGUCUGCUAGAACGCGCCCGACGGUGAGGGAUGAAAGCUGGGGGGAGCGAACC